GAAGCCCCUGCCAGGAGUCACCACCUCCCAGGCCCACUGGACUCGGACCCGAGCGUCCUUUGGGGGCGGUUUCUGGGCGUGGCGGCUGAGCGCGGUUCGGGGAGACGCCGCCGCGAGGUGGCAGCAGCGGCCCUCUGGCAGCCACGGUGCGUCCCGGGGGCGGGGACGCGCCGGCUUCGGGCGGGCGUGGUCCCUGCUGCGGGCGCCUGGGUUGGCCGGGCGGACCCCGGAGAGGGGGAGCCGCGGGGACGCAGCGACAGCGUCGGGGUGCUGGCAGUGGUCGCCCACGCCUCCCAGGGGUUGCAGGCCUGGGCGCCGGGGUUGGACCAGUCUUCCGGGCAUUGCACGCCCUGGUUUGGUCUGUACCCAUGGUUUGUGGCGGGGCAAGACGUUAAGUUGGGUAACACCCAGGUGAGCCGCGGUCCUCGGCACCAGAUGAGGAACCACUGUCUCAAUAAGGUGUCUUUAUUUUGCACACUUUGGGGGUCUUCUAUGAAUCACUGUGCACAGAGAAUGUCCCUUUGUAAGAAGAUGGAAUGGUUUUUGUGACUGGUUACUGUCCCACUGUCCUACCAGUGAUCUGGUCCCCUAUGAUCUGGGAGCUCAUCCUUGUAGCCAUCUCUAAGUGACAUAGUGGCCUCAGUGUGUGAAUACUGAUAUGUAGAUACUGGGAGUGCCUGCAAGAAUUUGCUGUACGUUCCUUGUUAGUUUCAUAUAAACAAAACUAUGGGUCUGUUUAUUUUUUGGAUGCUCAGAAAGACCUUUUAAAAUUUAAUUAAAAUUAUUCUGUAAACUUGAAUUUGUUUGAUGUCUAGUUCUGUAAGUUUUAACACAUAUAUACCUUUGUGGAACCACAUCAACACAAUCAGGAUACAGAGCUAUUUCAUGACUCCCAAAAAAACUCCCUUACGCUCCCACCCCACCUAUAGCCCCUGGAAAUCACUAACCUGUUCUCUAUCACCAUAAUUUUGCCUUUUCAAUAAUAAAAUCUAAAUCUUUGUAUUUCAAAUGUUGGCAUAAAAUCCAAUAGUUAAAGUAGUUCUAGUCUUAUAUUCACACACACACACACACACACACACACACACACACACACACGUUCUUAUCUUCUGGUUUGUUGCAGCAAGGACUAGACAGCACUCGCAUAGUAAGUGGGUUAAGGUGGCCCAUGAAGAUGCCAUCGGAAGGACACCCUUGGAGAAAGCGACCCAUUUUGCCAAUCUCCAUCAACCUUAUUGUAUUUCAGAGCAAAUAACUUCACCUUCUUUCUCUUAGACUUAUUCUUCUUGGGAGCAUGAUAGGAUAACUUCUUAGCACCAUGAAGCCUCAACAGCAAAAGAGGCCUUUUUUUGAAUUUUAUAAUCAGACAUUGGUACAUCCAUCUUCCAGUUGCCAGCAAAAUCAACCCCUGUUGAUUGGAGGAAUCUUAGCUUUCACAUUUUUUUAUUGUAUCUGUGGGUUCAACCUUGAGAAUAAUAGUCUUUCUUGUUAGGGCUUUCAUGAAAGUCCUAACAAGACGCCCAAACUGCAUCUUGGCAGUGUGGGUCUACGGAUCUGAAAGGAAGAUUCAGUUCUGAUGAAAUUUACUCAAAUUUAUCUGAAGCUGAAUUGAAGCUAGGUUAUUGCAGGAAAAGAGAAUAAGAGGUCUAGUAUCACAAGUUCUUACUUAAAGACUCGGAGGAAACAAUCAUCCCUGUAAUGAGACCACCCUGACUUAGUCACCUGGACUAUGAGAGGAAUCAGCUGAAGCUGUUCUGAAGGAAGCAGAGAUUCUAAGAGAACCUCCUUCUCACCCAGUGCCCACAGAUUCUGCAGCCUGGCCAGUGCUCACAGGGGCAAGCUGGAGAAAAAUGGAACAGAGGACACGUCCCCCAAAAUGAGAC
Macaca fascicularis (crab-eating macaque) is the source of this 1880-nucleotide long non-coding RNA. The record is from Ensembl. Lineage: Eukaryota; Metazoa; Chordata; Mammalia; Primates; Cercopithecidae.